This 69-nucleotide transfer RNA is filed under the name Gyrodactylus brachymystacis. RNAcentral's name for it is "tRNA-Ala". Lineage: Eukaryota; Metazoa; Platyhelminthes; Monogenea; Gyrodactylidea; Gyrodactylidae. The record is from RNAcentral.
AACAAGGUAGUUAACAUAUAGAAUAAAAAUUUUGCGUAUUUUAGGUGAGUGUUAGUCACUCCCUUGUUA